AUGGGUGUGGAUCAAGAGGUGGAGGUGGUGGAAUCGUGCAUGGUGAAGCCGAGCGAAGAGACGCCUAGCCAUGGUCUCUGGCUCUCCCUACUCGAUCUCAAAAUGGUGAAUAGAGGCCACACGCCGACCGUAUACUUCUACAGUUCCGACUCCGGCGCCGUCGAUAACUUCUUCGACGUGGCCAGGUUGAAGGCGGCGAUGGCCAAGGCUCUCGUGGCCUUCUACCCUCUCGCCGGCCGUCUCAGCGUGGAUGGCGACGGCCGGCCAGAGAUCGACUGCGCCGGCCAGGGCGCGCUAUUCGUUGUCGCUCGUUCAGACCUCACCGUCGACGGCUUCGUUGACUUCCAGCCGUCGCCGGAACUAAGGAGGCUCUUUGUUCCCCGCGUUGAGGACUCGCCUUCCAUCAUGUGCGCCAUCCAGGUGACCUUCAUGGGAUGCGGCGGGGUGGCCUUGGGGACGGCGCUGCACCACGCGGCCAUCGACGCCGUAAGCGCUGUCCACUUCUUCCAGACGUGGUCCGCCUUCUCCAGGGACGGCGACGCGGCGGCGACGGCGCUGGAGCUCCCAUGCCACGACCGCACCCUCCUCCGCGCACGCUCCCCACCCGUCGUCCACCCCGACGCUCUCACCGUGUUCUGUCCGAAGCUACUGAGCCUAGCAGUAGCCGAGCCGUCGGGGCUCGUGGUCAACCAGAUCUUCGUCCUCUCCAAGGACCAGGUCGCCGCUCUCAAGCGUGCCUGCACUGGCAGCGGUGACAUCGGCCGGGUGAGCACGUUCUGCGCCGUGAGCGCCCACGUGUGGAGGUCCUUCUGCACCGCCCGCCGGCUGCCGACGGACGCCACGACGCGCCUCACCUUCCCGGCCAACAUUCGGGGCGCCCUGAGGCCGCCGCUCCCGGCCCGCUACUUCGGGAACGGGAUCAUCGUCCUGGGCGCUGCCGGCAAGGUGCGGGACAUUGAAUCGGAGGAGCUGGGCUCCGUUGCCCGCCGGGUCAAUGGCGCGGUCCGCAGGAUGGAUGACGAGCUUGUGCGCUCGGCGAUCGACUACUUGGAGAUAAACGGUAGCAAGCAGCCCCCCAGCAGCAUGCCGGAGACUGAGCUGAGGGUGAUCAGCUGGCUGGGCAUGCCGGUAUACGACGCGGAUUUCGGGUGGGGGAAGCCCCUCGUGAUGCACCGUGCUGUUCAGCAGCGCGCAGGAUUCGUCUACCUCAUGGACGGUGUCAGCGGGAGUGGCGGCGUGCGCAUCCUCGUGUCUAUGGAAGCUCCAAUUCUCAACGACUUCCAGCGCCUGCUAUAUGCCACCUUCGUCUAG
Molecule: ribosomal RNA, 1311 nt
Filed under: Triticum aestivum (bread wheat)
Lineage: Eukaryota; Viridiplantae; Streptophyta; Magnoliopsida; Poales; Poaceae
Description: partial small subunit ribosomal RNA
Source: RNAcentral